UUCAAACUGCCUCUAUCAGCCGUCGAAGGCCGUAGACCGCACGACCCAAGCCAGUCGCCCGCGCCGUCGCCGCUCCAGUUUUUGACUGCUGCGUGCCGCACCAAUCUUGCCAGCCGGAGGUGCCAUCUGAGUCGUCACUGCCUGCUUCGCCCUCACGCCGCUCGAUCCGUCUAGUUCUGUUGCUGACCGUUCGCACGCCGCCAGCCCAGCUGCCGAUCUCCAUCGGUCACUGCCUCCCUUCGCCACCGUUUGUCAGAUUUUGGCUUAUGGUGAAGUUUUGGAUUCAAGCAUUGAAGGAAUUUUAAGGUCGAAGUGUGUUGUCAGACAUUGCACAGGAUUAAGUUGGGUUCACAAACGGAUUUGAGUUUGAAACUAAUUUUGGACCAAGCAACAUUUUGAUUAAGGCACUUAUUUGAGAGACUGAAGACAAUUUGGAACAAACUACACUUUGAGCUUUAGAUUCAAGUUUUGGAGAAGUUUUGAAUUUAGACGCUAACGACUUGAGUUUGAUUCUAACAAAAUUUUGGUGUUAGAACUUUGAGAUGAUCUUGGUCAAACCACUUUUGGGAUCUCAUUCAAAAGUUGUGGAAAGCUAGAAAGGAGUUUGUUCGCGUGAUUUAACCUUUGGACUUUAUUUGAGGAAAAGGUAAAGAUGUACCGGCGAUGGCGCAGCGGAAUUCGUGAUCGUGUUAUUGGGACUAGACCUUUUCGCUUCCGCAUCUUGAAAUUUGUUAUUUGGUUUUACUGUUUAAAAUUUAUUACUAAGGAUUAUUUCUUUUAUAUGCCUUUGAUUAGCCUUUAAGAAUUUUGGGUACCCUAUUAACUGUUUUAACAAUUACAUUUAAUAAACGCCUUUUGAACUUCUCUUAUUUAAUUAGCAUUUAUUUCAAAUAACUGAGCGUUUUUAAAUUUUGUGCAUGUAUUUAUUUUAGUAAUGGCCUUACCUAAGUCCUAGGGGGUCGGGUCGUUACAUUUACACCAAGUGGCAUCUCUACCAUUUCAAUGAAUUGUUAAAAAAACAAGUUCACGGUUCACAUUUAUGCUAAAACCCCCACAUGGUGGUCGAUCAUAAUCAACUUCAUCAACAUCAUCAAUCAUAUUACCAUUUGUAAACAACAUAAAUUCCAAAAAUUUAUCCGUCAUUUUCCAAAAGAAAAAAGACAAACAAUACAUUCAAAGUUGGGCAAACAUCCCCUAAAUUCUCUCUCCCACAAUUUUACUUUUCCCAUUCACUUCUCUCAUCAGUGAGUUUUAGAGUUUUCUUCCUCUCGUCUUUUUCUCAGUUGAUAUAUUUUCUUUUCAUAAUUAUUCUCUCCUCUGUUUUUUCUUCAUUUCUUCUCACUCUCUUCCUCUUUGUCCAGUGAAUGCUAGAAUGAAACAUACUUCCAUUCUUUCUUUCUAGGCUCAUCUUCCAUCUUUCAAUCAUUAAUUUCUCUCUUAUUUCAAUUUUUAAUGCAGAGAUCUCUGAUUACUCUCUUGUACAGUUCUCAAAUUUCCUUCUUCUUUACUUGCAAAAACCAUAUGUGCAAUGUAUUUUCCUUCACACACUCUAAUGUUCCCAAAAAAACCAUUGGACCCAUAAACCAUGAUGGAGUUCUAGGGCGGCGGUGGGGGAAUGGUGAUUCUGCAAGUAGUGGCAAGAUGAGUUCCGAUUACCAAAAAAAUUCCUCGUUUCGGUAGUCCCAAAAUAGGGGUAGCGGCAAAAUGAGUGAUUGUCCGGCAAGAUGAAUUCCAAUUAUGGUGAAAAUUUUUCAUGGCACCCAAAUAAAUUUAUACUGAGCAUCCGUCGGUGUUUGGAAGUAAGAUUUUUAGUCAAAAGGACAAAUAUGAGAAAGACCCAUUUCACCCACCAUGGCUACUGUACUUACUCAGCAUAAUUCGUUGCAAUUCAAAAAGGAAGGAGGUGGAAACAGCCAGUGGUUUCGCUGAAGAAUACUAGCAUCGAAGCAGCUCCCAAAGUUCAGCUGAAAAAGUACUAGCAUCGAAGCAGCUUGCAGCUCUGAAAGUUCAGCUAAGUUUCACCUUUCCAUGGGCAUGUGAAGUUGUGAACUGUAUGAUUCCGUGCGAGUUGGUGUUUGAGGCAUCUUAUUUCAUUUACCAAUGGACUUCAGCAUCUCCUUGUUUCUUGUUUUAGUUUCUCUACCCACUAUUUUGGCUCAGAGAGCUACACACGCUAGUAUCAUAGUAGAUGGAGCUGCAGUAGUUGCUGAAACUGAUGAUAACUAUAUUUGUGCCACCAUUGAUUGGUGGCCUCAUGAUAAGUGUAAUUACAAUCGUUGUCCAUGGGGGUAUUCUUCUGCAGUAAAUUUGAACUUGUCUCAUCCUCUCCUCUUCCU
This is a non-coding RNA of Benincasa hispida (wax gourd), 2336 nucleotides long. NCBI's taxonomy places the organism in Eukaryota, Viridiplantae, Streptophyta, Magnoliopsida, Cucurbitales, Cucurbitaceae. The record is from RefSeq and is a predicted model, not a curated record.